Molecule: ribosomal RNA, 934 nt
Filed under: uncultured bacterium
Lineage: Bacteria
Description: bacterial SSU rRNA
Rfam family: Bacterial small subunit ribosomal RNA
Source: RNAcentral
GAGUUUGAUCCUGGCUCAGGACGAACGCUGGCGGCGUGCCUAAUACAUGCAAGUCGAACGGUCUUUUCUAUGGAAGCUUGCUUCCACUGAGAAGAUAGUGGCGAACGGGUGAGUAACACGUGGGUAACCUGCCCAUAAGAGGGGGAUAACAUCCGGAAACGGGUGCUAAUACCGCAUAGUUUUCUUGAUCGCAUGAUCGGGAAAGGAAAGACGGCCUUUGUGCUGUCGCUUAUGGAUGGACCCGCGCUCUAUUAGCUAGUUGGUGAGGUAAUUGCUUACCAAGGCGAUGAUAGAUAGGCGGCCUUAACGGGUGGUCGCCCACACUGGGAUUGAGAUACGGCCCAGACUCCUACGGGAGGCAGCAGUCGAGAAUAGUCUACAAUGGUCAAAAGACUGAUAGUGCGACGCCGCGUGAACGAAGAAGCCCUUCGGGGUGUAAAGUUCUUUUAUAUGUGAGCAGUGGGUUCUAUGUGAACAGCAUGGGAUCAGAGAUAUUAGCAUAUGAAUAAGCAACGGCUAACUCCGUGCCAGCAGCCGCGGUAACACGGGGGUUGCAAGCGUUGUCCGGAAUUACUAGGCGUAAAGGGCAGGUAGGCGGAUCCAUAAGUUUUUUGUUAAAGGCAACGGCUUACCCGUUGUAAGGCAGGAGAUACUGUGGAUCUGGAAUGCGGUUGGGGAAGACAGAAUUCCUGGUGUAGCGGUGGAAUGCGCAGAGAUCAGGAGGAAUACCGAAAGCGAAGGCAGUCUUCUAAGCCGUCAUUGACGCUAAACUGCGAAGGUGUGGGUAUCAAACAGGAUUAGAUACCCUGGUAGUCCACACAGUAAACGAUAAUCACUAGGUGUCGGGUUCGUAGAGGAUUCGGUGCCGUAGCUAACGCGAUAAGUGAUUCGCCUGGGGAGUACGAUCGCAAGGUUGAAACUCAAAGGAAUUGAC